UACGAACCGUACGAACGUUAUUCGGAUUCACUGGGCUUAAAGGGUGCGUAGGCGGCUGGGAAAGUUGGGUGUGAAAUCCCUCGGCUCAACCGAGGAAUUGCGCCCAAAACUUCCUGGCUUGAGGGAGAUAGAGGUGAGCGGAACUAAUGGUGGAGCGGUGAAAUGCGUUGAUAUCAUUAGGAACACCUGUGGCGAAAGCUGCUCACUGGGUCUUUUCUGACGCUGAGGCACGAAAGCUAGGGGAGCGAACGGGAUUAGAUACCCCGGUAGUCCUAGCCGUAAACGAUGAGCACUGGGUUGAGGGGACUUCCACAUCCUCUCGGCCGUAGCGAAAGUGUUAAGUGCUCCGCCUGGGGAGUAUGGUCGCAAGGCUG
Molecule: ribosomal RNA, 374 nt
Filed under: uncultured prokaryote
Description: bacterial SSU rRNA
Rfam family: Bacterial small subunit ribosomal RNA
Source: RNAcentral